GAACGUACGCUGGCGGCACGCCUAACACAUGCAAGUCGAACGAAGUAGCAAUACUUAGUGGCAGACGGGUGAGUAACAUGUAGGUAUCUGCCCUUUGGCCUGGAAUAACACGAGGAAACUUGUGCUAAUACCGGAUAAGUCUUUACAGAGAAAGCUUUAUGCACCAUUGGAUGAGCCUGCACUUGAUUAGUUUGUUGGUGGGGUAAUGGCCUACCAAGACUUUGAUCAAUAGCUGAUUUGAGAGGAUGAUCAGCCACAUUGGGACUGAGACACGGCCCAAACUCCUACGGGAGGCAGCAGUGGGGAAUCUUGCACAAUGGAGGAAACUCUGAUGCAGCGAUGCCGCGUGAGUGAAGAAGGCCCUUGGGUUGUAAAGCUCUUUCGUCGGGGAAGAAAAUGACUGUACCCGAAUAAGAAGGUCCGGCUAACUUCGUGCCAGCAGCCGCGGUAAUACGAAGGGACCUAGCGUAGUUCGGAAUUACUGGGCUUAAAGAGUUCGUAGGUGGUUGAAAAAGUUGGUGGUGAAAUCCCAGAGCUUAACUCUGGAACUGCCAUCAAAACUUUUCAGCUAGAGUAUGAUAGAGGAAAGCAGAAUUUCUAGUGUAGAGGUGAAAUUCGUAGAUAUUAGAAAGAAUACCAAUUGCGAAGGCAGCUUUCUGGAUCAUUACUGACACUGAGGAACGAAAGCAUGGGUAGCGAAGAGGAUUAGAUACCCUCGUAGUCCAUGCCGUAAACGAUGUGUGUUAGACGUUGGAAAUUUAUUUUCAGUGUCGCAGCGAAAGCGAUAAACACACCGCCUGGGGAGUACGACCGCAAGGUUAAAACUCAAAUGAAUUGACGGGGACCCGCACAAGUAGUGGAGCAUGUGGUUUAAUUCGAAGAUACGCGCAGAACCUUACCAACACUUGACAUGUUCGUCGCGACUCUAAGAGAUUAGAGUUUUCGGUUCGGCCGGACGAAACACAGGUGCUGCAUGGCUGUCGUCAGCUCGUGUCGUGAGAUGUUGGGUUAAGUCCCGCAACGAGCGCAACCCUCACUUUUAGUUGCCAUCAUUAAGUUGGGCACUCUGAAAGAACUGCCAGUGAUAAGCUGGAGGAAGGUGGGGAUGACGUCAAGUCCUCAUGGCCCUUACGUGUUGGGCUACACACGUGCUACAAUGGUAUCUACAACAGGAAGCAAGACUGCGAAGUUAAGCAAAUCCCUAAAAGAUACCUCAGUUCGGAUUGCACUCUGCAACUCGAGUGCAUGAAGCUGGAAUUACUAGUAAUCGUGGAUCAGCGUGCCACGGUGAAUGCGUUCCCGGGUCUUGUACACACCGCCC
Molecule: ribosomal RNA, 1321 nt
Filed under: uncultured Alphaproteobacteria bacterium
Lineage: Bacteria; Pseudomonadati; Pseudomonadota; Alphaproteobacteria
Description: bacterial SSU rRNA
Rfam family: Bacterial small subunit ribosomal RNA
Source: RNAcentral